GAGGAAUAUUGGACAAUGGGUUAGCGCCUGAUCCAGCCAUCCCGCGUGAAGGACGACGGUUCUAUGGAUUGUAAACUUCUUUUAUAUAGGGAUAAACCUACUCUCGUGAGAGUAGCUGAAGGUACUAUAUGAAUAAGCACCGGCUAACUCCGUGCCAGCAGCCGCGGUAAUACGGAGGGUGCAAGCGUUAUCCGGAUUUAUUGGGUUUAAAGGGUCCGUAGGCGGGCUUGUAAGUCAGUGGUGAAAUCCGGCAGCUCAACUGUCGAACUGCCAUUGAUACUGCAAGUCUUGAGUAAAGUAGAAGUGGCUGGAAUAAGUAGUGUAGCGGUGAAAUGCAUAGAUAUUACUUAGAACACCAAUUGCGAAGGCAGGUCACUAUGUUUUAACUGACGCUGAUGGACGAAAGCGUGGGUAGCGAAC
RNAcentral lists this ribosomal RNA (420 nucleotides) under uncultured bacterium. RNAcentral describes it as "bacterial SSU rRNA". It matches the Rfam family "Bacterial small subunit ribosomal RNA", at positions 356 to 773 of the family's 1533-position model. The record is from RNAcentral.